UACGUAGGUGGCAAGCGUUAUCCGGAAUUAUUGGGCGUAAAGAGCGCGCAGGUUGUUUGAUAAGUCAGUGGUGAAAGUCUGUCGCUUAACGGUAGGAUUGCCAUUGAUACUGUUGGACUUGAAUAUGGAUGAGGUAGGCGGAAUGUGUAGUGUAGCGGUGAAAUGCAUAGAUAUUACACAGAACACCGAUUGCGAAGGCAGCUUACUAAUCCAUCAUUGACGCUGAGGCACGAAAGCGUGGGGAUCAAA
This 249-nucleotide ribosomal RNA is filed under the name uncultured prokaryote. Its description in RNAcentral is "partial 16S ribosomal RNA". It matches the Rfam family "Bacterial small subunit ribosomal RNA", at positions 524 to 772 of the family's 1533-position model. The record is from RNAcentral.